GUCCAGGUUCAUUUCCGUAUACAGUAUGCGUCAUGUACCUAAGUGACCAAUGAAAAGUUGUGAAAUCAUGUCAUCUGAUUUUCAAGUAUAUCCAUUUGGUGUCAAAGCUGUCAAUCACGCCGCGUAUCUCCCGCUCUGUGGAGCCAUCUCAGCUGUCUCGUGUCAUCUCAUUAGCGUCUCUGGAAGCGCAUCAUCGGGUAGCUGAAUAACACUUUGAAGAUUCAGUUGAAAGUGACGGUGGAGAUACAGCUGCCAAUGAGGACUCACUUGAACACGAUCCUGAAAAUGACCCGGAUUACACACCUGUCAAUGAAGAUGCUGUUGCUGUUGACCGGGGAAGGUCAAGGAAGAGGGCCAACCCAGACGCUUGGAAGGGUAACAUCCAGAAAAGGAGAAGAAUGAGGGGCCAAUCAUAUCUUGGACGGAAAAAAAUGAAUUCAUCAACAAAGAAGAACGAAAAAUGGAGGGGCGGUGCCUGGCUGAGUCCUGCCAGAAAUCCAGCAAACUACACUGCACCGAAAUCGAUGAAGGGAAGAGGGAAGAAAUAUUCAAGUAUUUUUGGGGGAAAUUGGACUGGAAAGAAAGGAAAAUCUACGUGAAGUCACUGGCGGAGGUUAGUGAUGUCAAGCGGCGCCGGACAGAAGCGGUUCAG
This is a long non-coding RNA of Eleginops maclovinus (Patagonian blennie), 652 nucleotides long. RefSeq lists it as uncharacterized. The transcript is spliced from 4 exons. The record is from RefSeq and is a predicted model, not a curated record. Lineage: Eukaryota; Metazoa; Chordata; Actinopteri; Perciformes; Eleginopidae.